GUGGUUUACCGCCCUUUCCCCCGUUUGACCCGCUUUAAAAUCCAACAAAUACUGGUCUUAGAUGGCGAAAAUGGCUUCGCCGGUUUGAAAAUCUCCUAAUAAGCCUUCGUGAAACCGAUCCAACCGUUAAAAGAGGUCUUUUGCUAACGUAUGUGGGAGAAACAUCAAACGAUAUUUUUUAUACAUUGCCAAGCACUGGCACAGACAAUGAUUCAGCUGUACAAAGUUUAACCGAACGUUUCGACCCAGCUAUUAAUAAGGACAUGGAAAUAUACGAAUUUCGUCAAAUUACUCAAUCAUCAGGAGAAACACUCAAUGAAUUUUACCGUCGUUUAAAGGAAAAAGCCAGUACAUGAGAAUUUGAUAACGAGGAAGCGGAAAUACGAACUCAAAUAAUCAACAUAAAACAUCG
Molecule: non-coding RNA, 412 nt
Organism: Paramuricea clavata
Lineage: Eukaryota; Metazoa; Cnidaria; Anthozoa; Malacalcyonacea; Plexauridae
Source: the annotation of a GenBank genome assembly